Dicentrarchus labrax (European seabass) is the source of this 3199-nucleotide RNA transcript. It is a transcript of the gene named SKI family transcriptional corepressor 1b, with no coding region annotated. Lineage: Eukaryota; Metazoa; Chordata; Actinopteri; Moronidae. The record is from RefSeq and is a predicted model, not a curated record. The transcript is spliced from 9 exons.
GCUGCUGCUGCUGAAGCAACACAAACCCUCCGCGCACACCGACAGCGGAGCAGAGAGAGAGAGAGAGAGAGAGGAGCACAGUGAGCAGGAGGGAGGCGGUGCUGCACGGACAACUGCGUCCCACUCCUAACGCAAACAACCUCGCAUCCACCAGCACAGACUAUACUUCUUACCACUCCGACUUUCACUUGAUCACAGCUUUCUCGUUCACGACGGAGGGAAGCUGCGCGGACAUUAGAGCUUCCAGGCCUCCAAGGAUGGACUCCAUACCUGCGGGGCGAGACUCCAGCUCCUCGCCAAGCUCCAAACAAGAACUUUCCUACCCGACCUCCAAGAACCUGAAGCCUAACCAGGUCGGAGAGACGGUGCUGUACGGAAUACCGAUCGUGUCUUUGGUGAUAGAUGGCCAGGAGAGACUUUGCCUUGCACAGAUAUCAAACACCCUGUUGAAGAAUUACAGCUAUAACGAGAUACACAACCGGCGUGUGGCGCUGGGGAUCACCUGCGUUCAGUGCACUCCUGUCCAACUGGAGAUCCUGCGGAGAGCCGGGGCGAUGCCAAUCUCCUCCAGGCGCUGCGGGAUGAUCACUAAACGAGAAGCCGAGAGACUUUGUAAGUCGUUCCUAGGAGCUCAUUCGCCUCCUAAACUUCCAGAAAAUUUUGCCUUCGAUGUGUCCCACGAAUGCGCCUGGGGGAGUCGAGGUAACUUCAUCCCUGCCAGAUACAACAGCUCCAGGGCCAAGUGCAUCAAGUGCUCCUAUUGCAACAUGUAUUUUUCUCCAAAUAAAUUCAUAUUUCAUUCGCAUCGCACGCCAGAGUCCAAGUACACGCAGCCAGAUGCAGCUAAUUUCAAUUCUUGGAGGCGGCAUCUCAAAUUAUCAGAUAAAGGCAGCCAGACAGAUGUAUUACACGCAUGGGAAGACGUGAAGGCCAUGUUCAAUGGGGGCAGUCGCAAGAGGACGCUGCCAUGCAGUGGGUCGUCUUCCAGCUCUUCAUUAAAACCACAAGGACCAAACCGUCCCCGAGACUCACCCGAGGUACCUGCAAAAAUCCUCAGCUGCGAGGACAACCGGGGCGGCAUGGCGAGCACGCGCAGCUACCCGGUCAUCCCCGUGCCCAGUAAAGGCUUCGGGAUGCUGCAAAAGAUCCCGCCGCCACUCUUCCCUCAUCCGUACGGGUUCCCAGCUUUCGGCCUGUGCCAGAAGAAAGAUGACAGUAUGAUGGGAGAGCAGAGCAAAGCAGGCCUCCCGGGCGUCCUGUGGCCUGGUACCAAGGACAGCGCCUAUCACUCCUUCCCCAUGUUCUGGCCCGCGGCUGGCGCGCUGCCCAUGCCUCCGUACCCCCAGACUCAGCACAAACCCCCACCAGAGCUGCUGUGUCCUCCCAGACAGACAGACAUGGACAUAUCUGAGCACAGCGACCGGAGCACCAACACGUCAAAAGACAGCAUGGUCGAAAACGAGCGCUGCUCCAGCACCCAGUCCACGCGUAACGAAGACGAUAAGUCCGGCGACGAGGCGAGGCCGCUGGAGGGGAUGACCCUUGCGCCCCGGAAGAUCAGCUACGUCUCCGCGUUCAGACCCGUUAUUAAAGAUGCUGACUGUAUUGCCAAGCUUUACGGCAACAGGGGCGCUUACAACGGGUGUCGCACCGGCUAUUUAUCGCCCGAUUUUUUAAGCGAGAGCUCGAGCUAUCGGUCCAUGUCCCCCUGCGUGGACAGCGAGGGCGAGCCGGAUGUGGACGUGGAGACGAAUAAAACACCAGAGGAGGAGGAGGACUCCCGGCCUCUGCCCUCGGUGUGUCCUCGGACUCCUCCCGGCUUGGCUCACAGUGUUUCACCAAACGACUCAGACUCCAAGGCCAUGCAGGAGAGCAGCCUGGUUGACUCCCAGAAAAUGAGUCUACACGUGGUCCAGUCCUCUGAAAGAGAACUGCAGGACAAGCAGUUAUCAGAGACCCACAUAGCUGCGUCUUUUACCGAAGUGUACACACCGGAGAGGGGUGAGCUGCAACAAAGGAGCAGUCCGUAUCAGUUCAGACCUGCGAAUUACCAGACUGGAGUACUUACAACAAAUGAUGAGAGUUCAAGUAAAGAAGAGCCGUCGUCCACAGUGGAGGAGAUCGAAACGAAAUCUUUUAAUGAACAAAGCAGCGAGGAGAUCCAGCGAGAGCCGGAUGAGGGCGAGGACGCCCCAGCCAGAGCUCUGCCAGCACAAAGAGCCAUAGAAAGUCUGGCAAAAGAAGAACUACAGAAGCAGCUGUUAGAGCAAGUUGAGCUGAGGAAAAAGCUGGAACGUGAAUUUCAAAACUUGAAAGAUCUCCAGACAGGAAAAAACAAAGGACUGUCAUGUAAGAUAAUUUUCAGGAUCAAAUGAAAAGGGAGCUUUCCUAUAGGGAGGAGAUGGUUCAACAGCUUCACAUCGUCAGAGCUCACGACGCUUUACACCAUUUCUCGUGUAAGAUGUUGACUCCUCGCCACUGCACCGGAUCCUGUUCCUUCAAAUCCCCCCUGCUACCACCCUGAACCAGAAUAUACACACAUUUAUAUGACAGAGAAACCAAGGGCACAUCUACAGCCUCUGUCAAACCAUGAAAAACUUCCAGGGACACUCUUGAAAUCACGUCGAAAGAAGACUAACCUGUAAUUACUUGUACAAUUUUAAAAACGUGUAUCUCCACCUUCAGCAUUCAUGUAACCAUCUUGCAUACGGUGACAUUUGUUUUACUGAAGUUAUACCAUUGAUGAUAUUUAUUAUUUGUGGCAAAGUGCAAUGACAAUGUAUGUAUCUUGUAGCUUAAUAGUUAUAGGUUGUUAUUUUGUUUUUUUGUUGUCAAUAAUAGCAGCUUUGACUAGCCAAUUCAUUGCUCCUUAUCCUCUCAGUAUUGUGAAUUAGCCUACUACUUUUGCUGUGGUUGUCUUUGCAAGCCAAUAGCUUACUUUGGAUGUUAUGCACUUUAAAUGAGUGAUGGGGAAUUACCAUAAACAGCUUGUGCAUUGAAAUAAGCCUACAGUAUAAUUAUUUGUAGUGGUCAAACCAUGCCUAUUUGUUUUUGAAGACUUAAAAAAACACAGAAGUUAGUAGGCUAUAUUAGUAGGCACCCUCACCUUGUAAGUAUCGACAGUUCUAUUAAGAGUAGCCUAUUUGUUCAUGUAAUAUUUGUUUUCAUCGCUAUUGAAUAAAUCAUUUUAUUAAAGAAA